RNAcentral lists this ribosomal RNA (253 nucleotides) under uncultured bacterium. Its description in RNAcentral is "partial 16S ribosomal RNA". It matches the Rfam family "Bacterial small subunit ribosomal RNA", at positions 524 to 776 of the family's 1533-position model. The record is from RNAcentral.
UACGAAGGGGGCUAGCGUUGCUCGGAAUUACUGGGCGUAAAGGGCGCGUAGGCGGAUACUUAAGUUAGAGGUGAAAGCCCAGGGCUCAACCCUGGAAUAGCCUUUAAUACUGGGUAUCUUGAGUUCGGGAGAGGUGAGUGGAAUGCCGAGUGUAGAGGUGAAAUGCGUAGAGAUCGGGAGGAACAUCUGUGGCGAAGGCGACUACCUGGACCAGCACUGACACUGAGGCACGAAAGCGUGGGGAGCAAACAGG